UAAACCAAAGCCUCCACCUACACUUAGC
This 28-nucleotide small RNA is filed under the name Bombyx mori (domestic silkworm). RNAcentral's name for it is "ovarian small RNA-18131". The record is from RNAcentral. Lineage: Eukaryota; Metazoa; Arthropoda; Insecta; Lepidoptera; Bombycidae.